Neodiprion virginianus is the source of this 586-nucleotide long non-coding RNA. RefSeq lists it as uncharacterized. Lineage: Eukaryota; Metazoa; Arthropoda; Insecta; Hymenoptera; Diprionidae. The transcript has 2 exons. The record is from RefSeq and is a predicted model, not a curated record.
UGCCACAGCGUGAUCCAGAUCCACUUUCAUUCAAUAUGCUGUCACUCAGUCAAGGGGUUUCAUACCCAUGAGUAGGUAAAAAAAAUCAGUUUUCUAAAAUGGUACUUGUUCGAAGUUACGAUCCUUUGAGUGUCUACCCUGAAAAUUUACCGACCGGAUGAGCAGCGAUAAGGAAGGAUAUUAAAAGAAGGAAGAAUGAGGUUGACACAAUAAAAAAAAAAGAUCUAUGGGAAGCGUUGACAUCUCGGGAAGAUCCGUCAUAUGGCCCAGGAAUUAACGAUUUCAUCUAAGUUUCAAAUACACCAGUUAUUUUAUUGUCAGUGAAAACCGUGCUCAUAACUUUAAACAGUGUUUUCAAUAUCUGUACCAGAAACAUCCUCGCGACUAUUAGACAGAUCGGGACCUACUUUUGCACAAUAAAAAAAUGGCUGAGGCACGUCUGGUACCGCAUACGCUGUGAACAAAAACACGUCCCAGGAAAACUACUGCCACUGUUUUACCGUUUGAUAUUUUUCAACUAAAUUUUUACACAGCUUAGAUAAAAUGUCACGCUUCGGAAGAUGUAUAAUGGUUGUUCAAUAAAAUU